UCCUACGGGACGCAGCAGUGGGGAAUAUUGGGCAAUGGGCGCAAGCCUGACCCAGCAACGCCGCGUGAGGGAAGAAGGCUUUCGGGUUGUAAACUUCUUUUAAGAGGGACGAAGGAAGUGACGGUACCUCUUGAAUAAGCCACGGCUAACUACGUGCCAGCAGCCGCGGAAAUACGUAGGUGGCAAGCGUUAUCCGGAUUUAUUGGGUGUAAAGGGCGUGUAGGCGGGAGCG
RNAcentral lists this ribosomal RNA (232 nucleotides) under uncultured bacterium. RNAcentral describes it as "partial 16S ribosomal RNA". It matches the Rfam family "Bacterial small subunit ribosomal RNA", at positions 337 to 583 of the family's 1533-position model. The record is from RNAcentral.